CUGCAGAUGGAUCAUUUCGAUGAAAACCUUUUUUUCUGAGGUGUGGCUCGCACCUGUCUAACUAAACUUGAGCUACCUUUUUUCAACACGGUUGCAUCGGUUGGCCUGUCUAGUAGUGCUUCAAGCGCUAGGACGACAGGUCGACACUUUUACACAAACACUUUUGAUAAUCUAGGAUUUGAAUGAAAGUUCAUUUUUAUGAUGGAUCCGACUGGUAAUGCGGUCGUCUAAAUCUAAAAAACAACUUUUGGCAACGGAUCUCUUGGUUCUCCCAUCGAUGAAGAACGCAGCGAAUUGCGAUAAGUAAUGUGAAUUGCAGAAGUGAAUCAUCGAAUCUUUGAACGCACCUUGCGCUCCCUGCAGAUCUAAUCUGGGGAGCAUGCCUGUUUGAGGGCCGCGAAUUGUUUCGAACGACAACUUUUUUUCACGAAAAGUGGUCGGAUCGGUAUUGAGGGUUUUUGCCAUUUACCAUGGCUCCCUCGAAAUGCAUUAGCGCAUCCAUUUGAUAGGCAAGACGGACGAAAGCUCAUCUUUCGCUCUCUCUUCCCUGCCGGGUUUUGAUAAUAUCAGGACUUCGGAGAGGUUGAGUUGGGUACGAGCUGGACGCAACGACUUGCUGUUUGGAGUGCUUCUGAACCCCGCCCAUACUUUUGUUUCGACAGAAGAAGGGAUUUUUUCAAUUCAUCGGCCUCAGAUUGGUAGGACUACCCGCUGAACUUAAGCAUAUCAAUAAGCGGAGGAAAAGAAACUAACAAGGAUUCCCCUAGUAACGGCGAGUGAAGAGGGAAGAGCCCAAGAUUGAAAGCUGGCGUCUUCGGCGUCCGCAUUGUAAUCUCAAGAAGUGUUUUCCGCUUCGGACCAUGCCUAAGUCCCUUGGAAAAGGGCAUCAUAGAGGGUGAUAAUCCCGUACAUGGCAUGGAGCGCCCGAAGCUUUGUGAUACGCUUUCUAAGAGUCGAGUUGUUUGGGAAUGCAGCUCAAAAUGGGUGGUAAAUGCCAUCUAAGGCUAAAUAUUGGGGAGAG
RNAcentral lists this ribosomal RNA (1021 nucleotides) under Macalpinomyces tristachyae. RNAcentral's name for it is "partial contains internal transcribed spacer 1, 5.8S ribosomal RNA, internal transcribed spacer 2 and large subunit ribosomal RNA". The stretch from base 686 to 1021 matches the Rfam family "Eukaryotic large subunit ribosomal RNA", at positions 1 to 332 of the family's 3401-position model. Lineage: Eukaryota; Fungi; Basidiomycota; Ustilaginomycetes; Ustilaginales; Ustilaginaceae. The record is from RNAcentral.